This 253-nucleotide ribosomal RNA is filed under the name uncultured bacterium. Its description in RNAcentral is "partial 16S ribosomal RNA". It matches the Rfam family "Bacterial small subunit ribosomal RNA", at positions 524 to 776 of the family's 1533-position model. The record is from RNAcentral.
GACAGAGGGUGCAACCGUUGUUCGGAAUUACUGGGCGUAAAGCGCGUGUAGGCUGCUCCGCACGUCGGAUGUGAAAGCCCUGGGCUCAACCUAGGAAGUGCAUUCGAUACUUCGGAGCUGGAGUCCUGGAGAGGAAGGCGGAAUUCUCGGUGUAGAGGUGAAAUUCGUAGAUAUCGAGAGGAACACCGGUGGCGAAGGCGGCCUUCUGGACAGUGACUGACGCUGAGACGCGAAAGCGUGGGGAGCAAACAGG